This 74-nucleotide transfer RNA is filed under the name Felis catus (domestic cat). It matches the Rfam family "tRNA". Rfam says of the family: Transfer RNA (tRNA) molecules are approximately 80 nucleotides in length. RNAcentral also lists the same sequence under 1 other name. The record is from Rfam by way of RNAcentral. Lineage: Eukaryota; Metazoa; Chordata; Mammalia; Carnivora; Felidae.
GCCUGGCUGGCUCAGGUCGGUAGAGUGUGCAACUCUUGAUCUCAAGGUCGUGAGUUUGAGCCCCACGCUGGGCA